This 253-nucleotide ribosomal RNA is filed under the name uncultured bacterium. RNAcentral describes it as "partial 16S ribosomal RNA". It matches the Rfam family "Bacterial small subunit ribosomal RNA", at positions 524 to 776 of the family's 1533-position model. The record is from RNAcentral.
UACGGAGGGNGCGAGCGUUAAUCGGAAUUACUGGGCGUAAAGCGCACGCAGGCGGUUUGUUAAGCUAGAUGUGAAAGCCCCGGGCUCAACCUGGGAUGGNCAUUUAGAACUGGCAGACUAGAGUCUUGGAGAGGGGAGUGGAAUUCCAGGUGUAGCGGUGAAAUGCGUAGAUAUCUGGAGGAACAUCAGUGGCGAAGGCGCCUCCCUGGCCAAAGACUGACGCUCAUGUGCGAAAGUGUGGGUAGCGAACAGG